AAUUAGUUUCUUAAUUGGAAAAUAGAAUGAAUGAUUUUAUUAAAUUUAAUACUUUUUAAAAAUUAAUAUUAAAUUUUUAUUUUUAGUGAAAAUACUAAAAAUAAUUUUUUAGACAAAAAGACCCUAUGAAACUGUAAUUAUAAAUUAUUAUAUAAUUAUUAAAUUAAUUAUUUUUKGGGGAAAAAAUUAAUAAUAGUAUUUAUAUAAUAUCAAAUAUUUGAUCCUUUAGGAAAAAUGAAAUAGUUCCUCUAGGGAUAACAGCAUAAUAUUUAAUAAAGUACAUAUUUAAUUAGAUGU
RNAcentral lists this ribosomal RNA (297 nucleotides) under Undeuchaeta major. RNAcentral describes it as "partial 16S rRNA". Lineage: Eukaryota; Metazoa; Arthropoda; Copepoda; Calanoida; Aetideidae. The record is from RNAcentral.